This 274-nucleotide ribosomal RNA is filed under the name uncultured bacterium. RNAcentral's name for it is "partial 16S ribosomal RNA". It matches the Rfam family "Bacterial small subunit ribosomal RNA", at positions 523 to 796 of the family's 1533-position model. The record is from RNAcentral.
AUACGGAGGGUGCAAGCGUUGUCCGGAUUUAUUGGGUUUAAAGGGUGCGUAGGUGGCGUGUUAAGUCAGUGGUGAAAGCCUGCAGCUCAACUGUAGAGGUGCCAUGGAUACUGACAUGCUUGAGUAUGGACGAGGUAGGCGGAAUUUGUGGUGUAGCGAUGAAAUGCAUAGAUACCACAAAGAACACCGAUAGCGAAGGCAGCUUACUGGACCAUAACUGACACUGAGGCACGAAAGCGUGGGGAGCAAACAGGAUUAGAAACCCUAGUAGUCC